RNAcentral lists this ribosomal RNA (120 nucleotides) under Triticum aestivum (bread wheat). RNAcentral's name for it is "partial small subunit ribosomal RNA". The record is from RNAcentral. Lineage: Eukaryota; Viridiplantae; Streptophyta; Magnoliopsida; Poales; Poaceae.
AUGUUAUUUGCACCAAAAAUUCUUAAAUAUUCAGAAAAAAUCGUAUCAAAUUUUUCGGGCAUUCUGAGAACUUUUAUUUUUUUUGUCAUUUUCUUAUUCCACGGGGAAUUCAAAAAAUAG